GAUGAACGCUGGCGGCGUGCCUAAUACAUGCAAGUCGAGCGAACGGACGAGAAGCUUGCUUCUCUGAUGUUAGCGGCGGACGGGUGAGUAACACGUGGAUAACCUACCUAUAAGACUGGGAUAACUUCGGGAAACCGGAGCUAAUACCGGAUAAUAUUUUGAACCGCAUGGUUCAAAAGUGAAAGACGGUCUUGCUGUCACUUAUAGAUGGAUCCGCGCUGCAUUAGCUAGUUGGUAAGGUAACGGCUUACCAAGGCAACGAUGCAUAGCCGACCUGAGAGGGUGAUCGGCCACACUGGAACUGAGACACGGUCCAGACUCCUACGGGAGGCAGCAGUAGGGAAUCUUCCGCAAUGGGCGAAAGCCUGACGGAGCAACGCCGCGUGAGUGAUGAAGGUCUUCGGAUCGUAAAACUCUGUUAUUAGGGAAGAACAUAUGUGUAAGUAACUGUGCACAUCUUGACGGUACCUAAUCAGAAAGCCACGGCUAACUACGUGCCAGCAGCCGCGGUAAUACGUGGGUGGCAAGCGUUAUCCGGAAUUAUUGGGCGUAAAGCGCGCGUAGGCGGUUUUUUAAGUCUGAUGUGAAAGCCCACGGCUCAACCGUGGAGGGUCAUUGGAAACUGGAAAACUUGAGUGCAGAAGAGGAAAGUGGAAUUCCAUGUGUAGCGGUGAAAUGCGCAGAGAUAUGGAGGAACACCAGUGGCGAAGGCGACUUUCUGGUCUGUAACUGACGCUGAUGUGCGAAAGCGUGGGGAUCAAACAGGAUUAGAUACCCUGGUAGUCCACGCCGUAAACGAUGAGUGCUAAGUGUUAGGGGGUUUCCGCCCCUUAGUGCUGCAGCUAACGCAUUAAGCACUCCGCCUGGGGAGUACGACCGCAAGGUUGAAACUCAAAGGGAUUGACGGGGACCCGCACAGGCGGUGGAGCAUGUGGUUUAAUUCGAAGCAACGCGAAGAACCUUACCAAAUCUUGACAUCCUUUGACAACUCUAGAGAUAGAGCUUUCCCCUUCGGGGGACAAAGUGACAGGUGGUGCAUGGUUGUCGUCAGCUCGUGUCGUGAGAUGUUGGGUUAAGUCCCGCAACGAGCGCAACCCUUAAGCUUAGUUGCCAUCAUUAAGUUGGGCACUCUAAGUUGACUGCCGGUGACAAACCGGAGGAAGGUGGGGAUGACGUCAAAUCAUCAUGCCCCUUAUGAUUUGGGCUACACACGUGCUACAAUGGACAAUACAAAGGGCAGCGAAACCGUGAGGUCAAGCAAAUCCCAUAAAGUUGUUCUCAGUUCGGAUUGUAGUCUGCAACUCGACUACAUGAAGCUGGAAUCGCUAGUAAUCGUAGAUCAGCAUGCUACGGUGAAUACGUUCCCGGGUCU
This 1372-nucleotide ribosomal RNA is filed under the name uncultured bacterium. Its description in RNAcentral is "bacterial SSU rRNA". It matches the Rfam family "Bacterial small subunit ribosomal RNA", at positions 28 to 1381 of the family's 1533-position model. The record is from RNAcentral.